UACAGAGGUGGCAAGCGUUGUUCGGAAUUACUGGGCGUAAAGGGCGCGUAGGCGGCCUUCUAAGUCAGACGUGAAAUCCCCCGGCUUAACCUGGGAACUGCGUCUGAUACUGGAAGGCUUGAGUGCGGGAGAGGGAUGUGGAAUUCCAGGUGUAGCGGUGAAAUGCGUAGAGAUGUGGAGGAACACCGAUGGCGAAGGCAGCCUUCUGGGCCAACACUGACGCUCAUGCACGAAAGCGUGGGGAGCAAACAGG
RNAcentral lists this ribosomal RNA (253 nucleotides) under uncultured bacterium. RNAcentral describes it as "partial 16S ribosomal RNA". It matches the Rfam family "Bacterial small subunit ribosomal RNA", at positions 524 to 776 of the family's 1533-position model. The record is from RNAcentral.